This 72-nucleotide transfer RNA is filed under the name Bos taurus (domestic cattle). It matches the Rfam family "tRNA". From Rfam's summary of the family: Transfer RNA (tRNA) molecules are approximately 80 nucleotides in length. Their secondary structure includes four short double-helical elements and three loops (D, anti-codon, and T loops). Further hydrogen bonds mediate the characteristic L-shaped molecular structure. tRNAs have two regions of fundamental functional importance: the anti-codon, which is responsible for specific mRNA codon recognition, and the 3' end, to which the tRNAs corresponding amino acid is attached (by aminoacyl-tRNA synthetases). tRNAs cope with the degeneracy of the genetic code in two manners: having more than one tRNA (with a specific anti-codon) for a particular amino acid; and 'wobble' base-pairing, i.e. permitting non-standard base-pairing at the 3rd anti-codon position. RNAcentral also lists the same sequence under 5 other names. The record is from Rfam by way of RNAcentral. Lineage: Eukaryota; Metazoa; Chordata; Mammalia; Artiodactyla; Bovidae.
UCCCUUGUGGCUCAGCUGGUAAAGAAUCCGCCUGCAAUGCGGGAGACCUGGGUUUGAUCCCUGGGUAGGGAA